AUAUAUAUAUAUGUGGAUCCAUAUAUAGAAGAUGCAUUUGGAUCCGAAUCCAGAUUUUGCCAUAUGUACGUACUACUUUUGGCUUUUUUAUAGGUAUGGUAGCCUACUGUCUCCUAUUUUCUAGCAACAUAUUGCUUCGUUGAUUCCUCCUGUUUAGCAAAGCAAUCAAAUUUCUUCGAGGAAAUAACCACCUCCCGGAUGAUGGUCAUUUUUGGCCCCCUAAUUUUUUUUUUUUUUUGUCUUUUUCUAUCCGUGAUAUGGUGAAAUCUAGGCGUUACUCCGAUAUCUAGCAUACUUGGCGUAUGCUAGUUUCAUGUUCGUAUUUUUUUGUUAUUUUUCUCCUUCUCUUAACACAUGGCAUCUCUUAUUUAUUUUCCCAAACAAUUUUAUAUAUUACUUUUUUAUUUCUUUCUAGUGGAUCUUUUUAACACCCCUUAAGAAUUCUUACGGAACCUCUCGUUUUUUGCAUCUAUAGUUUUAACCUCAUUGAGAAUAAUAGUGGAAAUCAAAAUAAUUUUUUUAUACUCAUGUCUUCAAUGCCCCUGAAAAUAAGAAGUUUUCUCCUUUUUCUUCUUCUUUUUAUUUUUAGACCUAAAUGUCGUUUUAAAUAGUCUUUCAAUAAAAAUUUAAUAGUAAAUAAUAGACUCGACAUAAAAAUAAAUAAACACAAAAAUAUUAAAUAAAUCAUUACUUAGAAAAACAAAAAAAAAAGAAACUAAAAAUAGUUUGAAAUUUUAAUGAACUUUAAACAUGGUAUUUUAAGAGUGUUGUAAAAAAGGGGCGAUUUUGUUAUUAAAUGGAAUAUAAUUAAAAAAGGAAUUAAAAGAGAAUUUUAAAGGGUGUCAAUAAUUGAACUCCUAAACCGUUUCGAUUGUAAUUAGAUAAAUAGCACGUGUACAUAGUAGUACCCAUAAGUACGUUGGCGAUAUAAUUGGGCCCCGAGCCCCGUGUGAUCCACUACAAGGACCCAUUAAAUUGACUAGAAUCGCGUCUUUUGAUUGCGACGUCGGUGAACUUGAAAAAAUGAUAAUUUAAAAUUUAAAAUUGACUUUAGGUUUGGGAUUGAGGUUAAAAUAUUAUAAGUUGUUGAUUUCAUAAGUUUUAGAAAAAUAGUAUCCGGUAAAUUCUUUAAAACUUAUUUAUUA
This 1145-nucleotide long non-coding RNA is filed under the name Citrus x clementina. RNAcentral describes it as "Citrus clementina (C. clementina) long non-coding RNA (CCLE_LNC000059)". The record is from RNAcentral. Lineage: Eukaryota; Viridiplantae; Streptophyta; Magnoliopsida; Sapindales; Rutaceae.